CGUUUCAUUCGUCUCGUGGCGUCGCGGCGCUCUCAUAUGUCAGUCUAUGUUUGCUCGACCGUCAGCAAAGACGAGCGACGUAACGCGUAUUAACGUAAACUACGAAAACAACACAUUUUGCAAGUGCCGCGAGAAAACAAGAUUAGUUUUAGGUCGCGCUUGUUUUUGGUAACUCGGAAUUUUCUCUAUUUUUCGCCGACACAAUAACUCGAUUGAAAAAAGAUAGUGAUACAGUUCAACUUCCAUCAAUAGAUUCGAGUUUCUAGAAAUAGAAGAGCCUUGUUGUUAAAAAGAAAUUGAUAGUAUUGCAAUUUGAUUAUAUUAAAUAUGAAAAGCUGAAUGUGACUGUCAAGAGCAAGUUGCAAGUUAAUUCGAUUUAAAUUGCUUGCGAAUUAGAUUUGUCUAUCAAUUGUCUUCUUCCCAUUCACGCAAAGAUAUUAAAAGGAUAUUUGGAGUUGUCCAAAUUUUCAAUUAUACUCGCGUGAUUAGCUUUAUUCGAAUCAAACUUUUACACGAUCAGAUCCACUUUCAUAUUCUUCGUUUUCUUCGUCUACUUCUUAUCCAAUUUUAUUAUUUUAUAAAUAUAUUAUAAAUUUAAUUAUCAGAAACAAUUAAUGCUCCUGGCAGGAGAAAAUUUCAACGGGAAGAUAAUGCGGACACAUGCACAGUUAUAAUCUCAAAGAUCCUGAUUUUCAAAUUUGAUUGCGGUCAAUGACAUCUCGACGACUUGAAAAAAAUACACAGAUAACUGAGUACAUAGAGUAAAGUGUGCAAAUAAAUUCUUUACAUGAAGUCAGUAAAAUAAAAACUCCCAAGAGUUUAUCUCGUGAGAUAAAAGCCUGAAAAAUUAAGAUGAUAACGGUACCGAUGUCAGCCUCCAGUCCCUACAUGAAGGUCACGUCUUACAGCGAUGCCAGUACAGCUGUCAAAAAGCCCUUGAUUCAACAGUUUUUAAGAGACAUGAAGGAACAUUCGGCAGCCCAGAGAAUGGAGAGAGAUAAGGAUUUGCCGCAACGCUCACAAAGCAGCGCUGCUACUUUGACGUCUAUAGGGGCCGAUAUAUCUCCAAGUUCUUCCCAAUUUUUCGAGGUAUUCUACGUUGGCAAAAUUAAAGUAUCGCAUCCAAAAGUACCGGAAUCCUUCAUUGAUGACGCUUUAAUAAAAUUUCGCGUUCAUGGAAUCGAGAAAACCAGGUCUUCGACGAGCAAUCUUUUGUCAGAUUGUCAACGAUUGAAACGCCAAGCUUUGAUGUCUUCCAUUAAUAGAAGAAAUAGUACGGAAUCUACCGCUAGCGAAUCAGGCAGUAUCGAGAACGUGUCGAAAAACAGUAUAAUUCCAAAUGUGAAUCCGCUUGGAAUUCCGCCAGUUUUAAGCAGUUCCGUGGAAACUUUUCCAAGAACAACUACUAAUCUCAUGGAAAAUGACAGUCGUGAUGAGAAUCAAAUGUCCGAAUCUUCCGCUAAUUCUAAUAUCACUGUACCUGAUGUUAUGCGAAGUCGCGCGGCGUCUACCGGCAGCGUUUUAAAUGGCAGGAGAGAUUCUAAUUCUAUUAAAGGAAACGAUGAGCAUAAUCGUACUAUGCUGUUUCAAGUAGGGCGGAUUGAUUUGAGAUUGAUUAGCCCAGACAGAAAGCAGGUUCUUCUACACAAGCAAUUAAAGGACAUAGCCAGUUGUGCGCAAGGUGCGAAAAAUCCGGAUCACUUUGGAUUUAUUUGCAAAGAAUCGGAAUGCUUCAUCGGAUACGUCUUCAAAUGCCAAUCUGGAUCAGUCGCGGAUGAUCUUGUUGCAGCAAUUAGCCAAGCUUUUGUUACAACCAAUACUAUCACGAGAAAGGAAAAGUAUUCUGUAUUUUCUUGUGAUCAUUGCCCCAUGUACUGGUACAAUAAACUAUGUCAGGAGAUUGAAGGACAAAAUGAUAAGAAAGUGCAAAGCAUUAUCUUAUCGCGUAUGGAAUUAUUACCGGAGGAUGAGCAGGAGAUUGUUGUGAGCAAGUAUAAGAGCGCCGAAGCUGCGGGUAACAUUAGUACGAGCUCCGCGAGUCAAAAUCAAUUCCUAAUGCGAUUGUUGCGUGCACAUUGCGAAUUAAAACAAGCCAGACAUGUACACGAUACGGCUGAGAAUAGGAGUGAAUUUCUCAAUCAAUAUCUAGGCGUCGGUGUUGGUAGUACGAUAUUUAUGAAAGCGAAACGCUCUCUUACAAAUAGCUUUGAUAAUCUUAUGAAGAGGAAAGGUUCGCGUGACGAUUUUGGUCUGGGUCCACAAUUGCGCGAUUCGAAUCAUCUGAAUACGAGGAUGCAAAAGAAUGAUAGUCAAAGUCCAGAUAGCUCGAGGCAACCAUCUAUAUUAGACAUCUCGCCGGAAUCUAGUAGACCGAGAUCAUUACGUGUCUCGCCUGAACAGCAGAUAGUUAUAAAUAAUGGACCAAAGAGUUCUAUGAUGGACAUCUUUUUAAAAGUUGGUAACUCGCCAAAAACAUCUCCUACGGAAACUGAGGGGGGUAACACGAUACAAACCAAUAGUUCGUGGCGGCAAACAAUACUAAACAGAGUCGUGACGCCGAGUAAAGAUCACAACGCCACAGAAAAUGAGAAAGUUAGCAUCAUCAAAAAUUUAGAAACGCCCGUUAAACGUAGAACGAAACAAGAAUUACGAGAUUUGUGGAAGAAAGCGAUUAAUCAACAACUAAUACUCAUAAGAAUGGAAAAGGAGAAUGCAAAGCUUAGAGAACGUCAAGAGGAAGCAACGGUAAAAAGAAUUAAACUGGAAUAUGACGAACUCAGUAGCUGUGCACGUGAAGUGGUAGAAGUUUGGGAUCUUCUUGUUAGUAAGGAAUCGCGAGUCUCCACUAAAUGUGAUAAUCAAAUGCUUUUGCACGCUAUCAAACAAGGUGUACCGAAAGGAAAGAGAGGUGAGGUUUGGCAAUUUCUAGCAGAACAAUUCUGCUUAAAACAACCGCCUAUAGAUACUCAAAAUUUUCCAAAUUAUAAUACACCCUACGAAUUACUCCUGAAGCAACUCACAUCGCAACAGCAUGCUAUUCUUAUUGAUUUGGGGAGAACGUUCCCGAAUCAUCCGUACUUUAGCUCACCUUUGGGACCUGGUCAGUUAGCACUCUUCAAUUUAUUAAAAGCCUAUUCUUUGUUGGAUCACGAAGUUGGUUAUUGUCAAGGCCUCAGUUUCGUCGCCGGAGUACUUCUAUUGCAUAUGGCAGAGGAUCAAGCCUUUUUCUUAUUACGACAUUUGAUGUUUCGCCGAGGACUUAGAAAAUUGUAUUUGCCAGAUAUGGCAGCAUUGCAAUUGCACUUGUAUCAGCUCUCUAGACUGUUACACGACCGCUUACCAACAAUUUAUAAUCAUUUUGACAAACAUGAAGUUUCGCCUACAUUAUAUGCUGCUCCGUGGUUGCUAACUUUAUUUGCCAGCCAAUUUCCUUUAGGUUUUGUGACCAGAGUUUUUGAUCUACUUUUUCUGGAAAACUCCGAAGUCCUCUUUCGUGUAUCGGUUGCAUUAUUAGAAGAACAUCAAGAUCAAUUAUUAUGCUGCGAUAACUUCGAAGAAAUUAUGGAAUAUCUCAAAACACGUGUGCCAGCAGUGGACAAACAAAGUUUGGAUCGCAUAAUGAAACGUGUAUUUUAUCCUGAUUUGGAAAUCUCAAAACAAUUAAACGAAUACAGAGUGGAAUAUCAAGUGCUUCAAGAGGAAAUGAUCUCAGUGAAACCACAAAUGGAGAAUUUGGAGAAAUUCAAAUUCCAGAACAAGCAACUCACACAAGAAGUCACACAACUUAGCGAACAACUUGAGAUUACUAUGAGCAAUUUGCACAGACUCGAAACGGCGCGCUCGAUGCAACAAGCGACUAUCCAUAGAUUCGAGUCUCAGAAUCGCAGUCUUGAAGUAACAGUAGCCACAUUAGGCGCGUUUAUUCAGCAAUUAGUGGAUACACGUGCCGAUAUCGAAGUAUCAGGCGAAGUUCGUCGGAUAAUUGCACAGCUGAAUAUGGUGGAGAAACGACGAAAUCCAAGCACUAAAUCGUAUCCUCUGAAAGUUAUCGAGGACAACAAAUACGGAAUGAUAAAAAGUAAUUCUACCGGUAGAGAAUCUCAAAAUAUUAUUAGAAAUAAUAGUAUGGAUACACCGUAUCCUUUAAAAUCGACUUUGAGUCAACCCAAUCUAGCGACAAAAUUAGAGAAAGUCUCUUCGUUCUUUUCGAAUUCGCACAAUCAUAUACAAAAGCAGCGCGCACAGUUAGCGGCUCUUAGAAACGAAUACUCGGAACAAACUAUGAGAGGUAACAAUGAUGAAAAUGACCCCAAAACGGUCAACAUUGACAUUCAAAUUACGGAUACUAUGAAUCUGGUUAACAAUCCACAACCGCAAAACGAGAACAAUUUAAAAGUUCCGGCUACCAAUUUGGAGAAAUCGAUAUCGUUGCCAUUAAAACUUAAGUUAAAAUCAAAGUCUACGUAUGAAUUAGGAUCCGUAAAGAAGGUUCCCACCAGUAAGCUCGAAGUUACGAGUAACGAUUCGUUAACGAAUCUAACAGGGACUGUACAUCCACUUGACACUUGUAGCGAUGUGAAUUUCCGAUAUGGCGGAACCACGAAAUUAAAGUCUAUUAAACCUAUUAGAUUAUCUAGUCCGAGUUGUCAGGAAGAUUGUGAUAAUGACAAACAAAAACCUGACCAAAGGGCCUCCGAUUCUUUAAAUAGAUAACAAUUACUUUCGAAUACGUCUUCAAAGAGUAUUUUAUCAAAGAGAAUCUUCAUAAAAAACAUGUAUUUGAAACGAUAUUGGAAAAUUUCAAAACGACCGCGUAAUUUAUUUAUUUAAUUAUGAAAAGAAACAAAGAUUUUUAAUUUAUAUUGAGAUCUGAUAUCAUUUUUUACAAUUUAUAAAAAUUAGCCAAAUAUUAAAGUGUAGUAUUUAAUAUGACAUGAAAAUAUUGUAUGCAGGUAAAUACGAGGGUUACUAUUUAUAUUUCGGGAACUUUGCAACACUGAUGUCAUGUGAGUCUAUC
RNA transcript from Nylanderia fulva, 5017 nucleotides. It is a transcript of the gene named PTB_TBC1D1_like and TBC domain-containing protein plx, with no coding region annotated. NCBI's taxonomy places the organism in Eukaryota, Metazoa, Arthropoda, Insecta, Hymenoptera, Formicidae. The record is from RefSeq and is a predicted model, not a curated record.